Molecule: long non-coding RNA, 627 nt
Filed under: Homo sapiens (human)
Lineage: Eukaryota; Metazoa; Chordata; Mammalia; Primates; Hominidae
Description: HSALNT0358546
Source: RNAcentral
ACUCUUCAUGGCUCAAUUUCGGCUCCCGGAGCUGGUUCUACCAGGGCCCCAGCACCGGUCCAGAGAGGAGGCCCCGGGUCCGCGCGUCUGGUUGUGUCGGGCGGUGCUCUCUGUCCUUCUCACUCCCCAGCCCUCCCUUCCAUUUCUCGGUUACCUGCGCGGCUGCAGGCGCCGCCGGGGACUGCACAGGUAAAAGUCUCGGCAAGUGAGGGCGCAGGUGUGGGCGCCUCCUGGGCCAGGCGGGCAGGGGAGAGGCCGACGGCACGUGCCUGGCUCUAAAAAGAUUUUUUUUUUUUAACAGGGAUUGUAUUGACAGUGGGGGCUUGGGGAGGGCAGACACGGACCCUGGGAGCGCUGCAGGGCACUGGGGGGAGAGAGGGGCGGGACUGAAGCCCCGGAGAUUGGGGGCCGGUUCCUUUACGGCCCCGCAGCUUGCGCAGGCUCCGUGGUGCCUGGGAGGUGGUGCGCCGGUUGGGUGGGGGCGGGUCCAGGCCGCGGCGUCGGAGAAUUGUCCCCCAUCCAGUCCCCGCGAUGACUGGGUUUUGACAGCCUCCCCUCCCGAGCGCGCACAUUCCCAGGUUUGCAGAAUGAAAAUCAAUAAAAUCGAUGCAGUGGCAAAGAACGCGA